GUCGAACGCUGAAGCUUGGGUGCUUGCAUCUGGGUGGAUGAGUGGCGAACGGGUGAGUAAUACGUGAGUAACCUGCCCUUGACUCUGGGAUAAGCCUGGGAAACUGGGUCUAAUACUGGAUACUACAUUCUCUCGCAUGGGGGUGUGUGGAAAGGGUUUUACUGGUUUUGGAUGGGCUCACGGCCUAUCAGCUUGUUGGUGGGGUAAUGGCCUACCAAGGCGACGACGGGUAGCCGGCCUGAGAGGGUGACCGGCCACACUGGGACUGAGACACGGCCCAGACUCCUACGGGAGGCAGCAGUGGGGAAUAUUGCACAAUGGGCGAAAGCCUGAUGCAGCGACGCCGCGUGAGGGAUGACGGCCUUCGGGUUGUAAACCUCUUUCAGCACGGAAGAAGCGAAAGUGACGGUACGUGCAGAAGAAGCGCCGGCUAACUACGUGCCAGCAGCCGCGGUAAUACGUAGGGCGCAAGCGUUGUCCGGAAUUAUUGGGCGUAAAGAGCUCGUAGGCGGUUUGUCGCGUCUGCUGUGAAAGCCCGGGGCUUAACCCCGUGGUGUGCAGUGGGUACGGGCAGACUAGAGUGCAGUAGGGGAGACUGGAAUUCCUGGUGUAGCGGUGAAAUGCGCA
RNAcentral lists this ribosomal RNA (627 nucleotides) under Kocuria carniphila. Its description in RNAcentral is "bacterial SSU rRNA". It matches the Rfam family "Bacterial small subunit ribosomal RNA", at positions 61 to 692 of the family's 1533-position model. Lineage: Bacteria; Bacillati; Actinomycetota; Actinomycetes; Micrococcales; Micrococcaceae. The record is from RNAcentral.